This 202-nucleotide long non-coding RNA is filed under the name Gossypium raimondii (Peruvian cotton). RNAcentral's name for it is "long non-coding RNA (GRAI_LNC008515)". The record is from RNAcentral. Lineage: Eukaryota; Viridiplantae; Streptophyta; Magnoliopsida; Malvales; Malvaceae.
AUUAUGUCAUGCAUAAUACUAACAAAUAAUUGUUUGGUUUCAUCCAUAUGAGUUUACAAUUCAAUUCAUAAUAACUAAUUGAAAUCAAACAUUAUGUUAUUUCUAAUUCAACGAUUAUCAAAUAUAAUCGGCAUAUGACCAAUUUAUAUACAAAUCAUUCAUAUAUUGUACUUCUCCUCUUCCUCCUCUCCAUUCCACACCC